GCGUGGAGCCGCGGGGGAAGCAAGUAAAAAUAGCCUGGCGCGCACCGCUCUGCCUGCUCUGGACGCCUUUAACCCUGGCCAAGGUGGGGAGCUCAGCAGCCACUACAGCACACUGCUGAACCUGGCAGGGGUCUGCAUCCAGACCCCGUACAACAGCUGGGGUGCGGGGGCUUAGAGACCCGUGAAAACUUUUUUUUUUUUUUUAGAAACCCAGAAGUGGGGGGAGGGAAGAGCAGGAGAAAGCUGUUUCUUGCUUCUAGCACUCCAGCCACCUGGCUGCAGGGACUGCUAUGUGCCCACUGGUCCAACACUUUACAGAAGUGCAGCCUUGACUCGGAGCUAUUUUUAGCAACCUCUUCCGCGGGUGGGCGAUCAGAGGGAGGAGUGUGAGGGGAUUGGGAAGGCUAGCUCUCUGCUGUGAGGCUAGGCGCCUUUGCGGGUGGAGAAGAGGAAGUGUCGAGGGGAUAAGCAUGCUGGCUUUGCCCUAACUCAAGGAGACAGCGUUAGCUGCUGAAUGCCCUACUGCUUUCAAGCCCCUGAGCGUGUUUGUUUUUCGAAAUCGACAAUUGCCAGAUGCAUGCUGCUUCUAAUCUCUCAGAGAAUUGGGAUUUUAAAAGCGUUGCUGCCUAUUGCUAUGGGGUAAAGGUUAGCUGCAGUUAAGACCUUACCGAAGAUCGGAAGGGUCUCUGCAUCGUUUUGCAUUCCAGCAAGACAGAGGGACAAUCCCCGUGCCACACCUCCAUCCCCGCCUCACGCUGCAUAUGGGUAACCAUAUGUGAAAUGUACGGCAGCCCCACCAGACACCCGGCUAUUAAUAGAGCCCGGGAGUUUGCUCUCUGUCUUUUUCCUGCCACCGAGUAAGGGAUGAUCUUCACACACAUACCCCACUCCGCCCCCACCUCGGCGCACCGUUUCUCCAGGAAGGUGGGGAAAUCGGAGCACAGAGAAGACAACUAACUGGACCCAAGUCCCCCAGCUAGUAAGCUGUAAACUGCAGAGUUGGGAUUUGAGACCAGGCAGGCAGCUACAAAUGAGGCCUCUCUGAAAACAAACCACACCCAAGGUUGCUCUUGAGGCAAAAGAAGUCAUGUGGGUGGAAUUUUUAUCUUCUGUUCCUACCUUUCCUCUUUCCAGACAGAGAGAAAGCACGAGAAGGGGAGGGGCACAGAGAGAAGGAGAGAG
Molecule: long non-coding RNA, 1182 nt
Organism: Leopardus geoffroyi (Geoffroy's cat)
Lineage: Eukaryota; Metazoa; Chordata; Mammalia; Carnivora; Felidae
Exons: 3
Source: RefSeq, a predicted model, not a curated record